AGCGAACGCUGGCGGCAGGCCUAACACAUGCAAGUCGAGCGCCCAGCAAUGGGAGCGGCAGACGGGUGAGUAACGCGUGGGGAUCUACCCAUUGGUACGGAAUAACCCAGUGAAACUUGGACUAAUACCGUAUGUGCCCUUCGGGGGAAAGAUUUAUCGCCAAUGGAUGAACCCGCGUCGGAUUAGCUAGUUGGUGAGGUAAAGGCUCACCAAGGCGACGAUCCGUAGCUGGUCUGAGAGGAUGAUCAGCCAAACUGGGACGGAGACACGGCCCAGACUCCUACGGGAGGCAGCAGUGGGGAAUAUGGGAAAAUGGGCGCAAGCCUGAGCCAGCCCGGCCGCGUGAGUGAUGAAGGCCUUAGGGUUGUAAAGCUCUUUCGCCGGUGAAGAUAAUGACGGUAACCGGAGAAGAAGCCCCGGCUGACUUCGUGCCAGCAGCCGCCGUAA
Molecule: ribosomal RNA, 447 nt
Filed under: uncultured bacterium
Lineage: Bacteria
Description: partial 16S ribosomal RNA
Rfam family: Bacterial small subunit ribosomal RNA
Source: RNAcentral